GCCUGGGUUUGAUUCUCCGGCCGGGUGAUCAGGGUCCUCUCUGUGUGGAGUUUGCAUGUUCUCCCUGUAUCUGCGUGGGUUUCCUCCGGGUUCUCUGCUUUCCUCCCACAGUCCAAAGACAUGCAGUCAGGCCAAUUGGACAAGCUACAUUGCCCCUGGGUGUGAGUGACUGUCUGUGUCUGUCUGUCUGCCUUGUGAUGGACUGGCGACCUGUCCAGGGUGUAUCCUGCCUUCCGCCCGAAGACUGCUGGGAUAGGCUCCAGCGUCCCCCCGGGACCCUGACGGAGAAGCGGCUUAGAAAAUGGAUGGAUGGAUGGAUAAUAAUAAUAAAGUUUUCAGUCAAAUCAGUCAAAACCUUUCCACUUCCUGAUGCCUUAGGAAAGAGGAAAAGCAUUCAGGCUUGAUACUGGUCAGAAGAACAGUGAGAAGGCAGGGCCUACCAGCAAAGCGGACAUACAGCAGAAUUCCAACUAACAUGACGUCGCAUAGAGAAGAUACAGCACAAACACAGUUCGGUUAUACCAGGCCUUGAAAACAUCAAUCCCUGGUGAGGAACUACGUUCUUUUUUGUAUUUGCAUCUGAAAUAUUUUUGUUAAAACAGAUAAAGUGUCAGCAAUAAAGAGUUACAC
Molecule: long non-coding RNA, 630 nt
Organism: Pygocentrus nattereri (red-bellied piranha)
Lineage: Eukaryota; Metazoa; Chordata; Actinopteri; Characiformes; Serrasalmidae
Source: Ensembl